RNAcentral lists this ribosomal RNA (253 nucleotides) under uncultured bacterium. RNAcentral's name for it is "partial 16S ribosomal RNA". It matches the Rfam family "Bacterial small subunit ribosomal RNA", at positions 524 to 776 of the family's 1533-position model. The record is from RNAcentral.
UACAGAGGUCUCAAGCGUUGUUCGGAUUCAUUGGGCGUAAAGGGUGUGUAGGUGGCGCCGUAAGUCAGGUGUGAAAUUUCGGAGCUUAACUCCGAAACUGCAUUUGAUACUGCGGUGCUUGAGGACUGGAGAGGAGACUGGAAUUUCCUGUGUAGCGGUGAAAUGCGUAGAUAUAGGAAGGAAUACCAGUGGCGAAGGCGGCCUCCUGGAUCGAUACUGACGCUGAGGCGCGAAAGCGUGGGGAGCAAACAGG